AGAGCGAACGCUGGCGGCAGGCCUAAUACAUGCAAGUCGAGCGGCCACUUCGGUGGCAGCGGCGGACGGGUGAGUAACGCGUGGGAAUGUGCCCUUUGGUACGGAACAACUGAGGGAAACUUCAGCUAAUACCGUAUGUGCCCUUCGGGGGAAAGAUUUAUUGCCAUUGGAGCAGCCCGCGUUGGAUUAGCUAGUUGGUGGGGUAAACGGCCCACCAAGGCGACGAUCCAUAGCUGGUCUGAGAGGAUGAUCAGCCACACGUGGGACUGAGACACGGCCCAGACUCCGUACGGGAGGCAGCAGUAGGGAAUCUUGCGCAAGUGGGCGAAAGCCUAGACGCAGCCAGUCGCCGCGUGAA
RNAcentral lists this ribosomal RNA (358 nucleotides) under uncultured soil bacterium. RNAcentral's name for it is "bacterial SSU rRNA". It matches the Rfam family "Bacterial small subunit ribosomal RNA", at positions 26 to 405 of the family's 1533-position model. The record is from RNAcentral.